Molecule: long non-coding RNA, 1352 nt
Organism: Drosophila virilis
Lineage: Eukaryota; Metazoa; Arthropoda; Insecta; Diptera; Drosophilidae
Source: RefSeq, a predicted model, not a curated record
UAUUUGCCCUGUAUUUUGCGCAUUUUACAGAAGUACUCGAUGUUAUGUAAAAUGCGCACAGUCUGGCAACGACAUGCAAGCAGCAUGACACCGCAACUGUGUUUACUCUUAUUCAACAGCAGCAUCAUCAUCAACUCUACACAACUCUAGCUCCAACUCCAGCUCCGACUGCAGCCAGCUGCCACCCAACGUCAGGCACAACUUCAUUUGCAAUGCAAACGCAACGAGUGAGUGGAUUGGAGUGGAUUGAAGCGUGCGUGAGUGGGAGAGAGAGUUGGUGUCGCAAGCAGCGUGGAGAGUGUCUUGUGUAAUCAACUAAUUACAACGGCCGCCCAAUGCCUGGCACCAGCCAGCCGACUGCCGCCCGUCGCACCCCACACACCCGUCGCGCCAACAGAAAAUUUAUCUUGUUAAAGUGACUUUUUAGCGUUUGCCUUCCGACCGCCCGCCCGUCCGCUCAUCCAUCUGCUGUUGCUGCAUCAUUUCAAGGAGUUCAUCAUUAGAGACAAUUGAGUAGCACUCAAUCGUUGUAGCCCGCCACUCAAAUCAAUCAAUCAAUGGAGAGAGAGAGAGAGAGAGACAGAGAGCGAGCAGAGCAAAAGCUGUCCAGUUUGAGCUGAUGUUCUUUUUAUUAUUCUUAUUUCCGGUUCAGGAUUUUCGUUGAUUUCGCCUUCACCCUGAAAUGCCAAGCGCUCCGUUUGCCACUGUAAAUUGAUACUUUUUUUGGGUCUCACAUUUUUUUCUUCCAAAGAGCAUGAUGCAAAAAAAAAAAAACCCGAAUAACAUAGCAGGCGCGAGCGAGAGGGAGAGUGCGAGAGAGGGGAGACAAAUUGGAACGCGGCACUUGGUCUUGGAACUCAUCUGCCCUGCAUAUUAAUAAUGGUGGACUAAUUGGAUAUUAAUGCUGGGUUUUCAUUUCAUUACAUGACCGAAUUAUGUCCCCAGGCAAAUGAAAUUAGAAUGACACUCAAUCAAGACGAGGCAGAGAUUCAAAUGUUGAGUAUUCUUCGCAAGAGUUAAGCAAAUUGUUUGCGUACAACAAAUCAUAUUAUCUGACGGGAGCGAAUGAAAAUGAAUACUGUGUGGAAAAUAUAUUCAUUUAAGCUUUAAAGUGAAUGCCUUGCCCUAAUUCACAUCCUCUAAGUUCGAACAGCUCAGCUUUCUGUAGUUCUUCUAGUCUCUGAGUUCGAAGCGAGAUGUUCAGGAUGAUCAGGAAUAUAUAUGUAUAUGAAUAUACUCACAUACAUUCACAUGCUUAGGUCUCAACUUUAUGUAACCUCUUUUUUUUUUGAUAAUUUUGUUUUUUAAACACAUUUUAUGGGCUUUUAAAUACAAGUGAAUAACUGCCGCCA